UCCUCUUUUUUAAAGAAAAAAUAAAUUUUAUUUCUAUUUAUUAUUUUUCUUUAUUUCGAUCUUUUUAUUCUUUUCCUCUUUCCUUUCCUUUUCACUUAUAAUUAUCUUUGAUUGCGCUCCGAAACACUUCUGUUAUUACGUGCUCGAACUUGACAUCUUUCCACACUAUUGAAAGCUAAUGUUGCAGGAAGAGUGACCACGGUCCAUUCCCUGUACCCGGAAGCAAAAACCGGUAAGAGAAACCUGAUAUAAUCCUCUUUGUCUAUCGCUAAUGUCUCCUUAAAAAUUCGAGUUCAAUCUAGGGGACAUAUCCCCCGGAUUGAAUAGAGUAAUCUCCUAAAUGAAAACACUCUGGAUUCAAAAGAGAAAUCUCUCCAUCGGAUGAAAAACACCGAUAGUCAUUUCCUCGUAGCAAGUUGAGAAAAUUGUCCAUUGCUUGCAAAAAAAUUCGAAUCAAGAAGCGAAUCUCGAACUUCGCGUCCUGCAGAAGAAGGAGCGAGGAGGAGGAGAAUUACAACUAGUCACAGGUUCUCUAGGAUAAAAUUAUAGUUAUCGAAUAUUUACAUUACUCGAAAGUAUUUGGUUAUUAUAAUUAUUUAUAUUAUUAUAUUUUUAAUUAUUAUUCUUUAUCAUUAUUAAUCAUAUUUUUUUUUCGUUAUUAAUCGUUUUUUAUUGUUAUUAAUUAUACUUUUUUAUUGUUAUUAUUCUUCUUGUUCUUAUUAUUAUUAUUAUUUUUUAAUAACAUUUAAUUAUUUUUAAAUACGGGCGAAUAAAUAUUGAAUUUAUGAGUUUCAUAAUUCGAUAGGAACGAAUAAGCGAUGCCAUUUCUACGCAAGUCGAGGAAUCAGUCAAUUUGAUAACAGAUGACUCCAAUUGUUUAUUCCAGUUGAUCGAUCGUUUAUCAAUAUUUUUUUUUUUUUGAUUAUCUAUUUUAAAUUAAAUCUUAAAAUUAAAUAUUAAUUAGUUUAAUUAAUUAUUCGUCUUAAUUAUCCACGCGUUCUAAAUGAUUUGGUUAUGUAUUGGAAUAUGGCGCUGGCGGAGGAUAGAUAGGGAAGAUUAUUCAGAUUUGUUACUGAUAUUUGUUCCCGGUAUAGAAAAUGGGCCGGCAAGACAUUCGUUUAAUGGCCCAGAAAGAUAUCGGGUGUCGGAUGUUAUGCGAAUGCGUAACAGGAGAAAUGUGUCGGCGCAUAAUCAAAGUAUAAGCAAAAAGAAAAAAUGAAUAAAAAGAUCCAAAUAAAGGAAAAUAAAUAAGAAUAAGUUUAUUUUUUCUAAUUAAAGGAAAUUAAGAAAUAUAAUUCUGAAAUAAAAAGUAUUUAUCGAAAAUUAUUUAUAUUACUUAUAUAUAUUAGUCGAAGACGACCAAAUUUAAUCUAGUUUCGUAACACCAUUCAUUAAUACCAGUUUCAGGAUAUUUUUUUAUCAGGAUGUCCCUAACCUAUAAAACCUAAUUCUAGAAAUUAAUUAAUCAAGAAUUGGAUUAAUUGGAAUUAAAUGAAUGGUUCAAGUAAUUCCAAAUAAUGAUAAUUAAUGGAUAUAAAUAAUAUAAAAUUCAACUAUUAAAACGUAUUAUAAAAAUAAUUAAAAUAAUCAUGAUAAUUAACACAUAAAUUAAAUUAAUUAUAUUAACUAUAUUAAUUAUGUUCAUGAAUUAAUUACGUUGUCAGAUACAUAAAAAUUAAAGUAAUUAAAUUAAUCGAAUCGAGUUAAUUAAAAUUAAUUAAUUAAGUUAAUUAGAUCGAUGAAUGAGCAUAAAUUAAUGAAAGUACUAAGUCUGGAUCAAUAUUUCUUUUCGAAGCACGCUUAGCGUCUAAAAUCGAAUUGUGCUCUCUUUUACGGCGAUGUAUUAAUUCAAUGGUGCGGAAAAUAUCGAGUUUCGAGUGUCGAACGAUAAUAGAUCGUCGAUGCAUCAAAGAAGCGAGCGAAGAGAAAAGAUCGAAGUAAGUAAAGGCAUAUCUUCAAUCUUGUCCUGAAGUACCUUCCGUUAAUACUUGUCUUGGGAUAUUUUUUUUAUAAGCAUACGCUUAACGGAUAAAAAUGUCUAAAUCGAAUUAAUUAAAUUAAUUAAAAUGAAUAAUUCGAGUAAAUAAAUCAAUAGAAUAAUCAAGUAUGAAUUAAAUUAGUUAUGUGAAUUAAAAUAAUUAAACUAAUCGAGAUGAAUUGAUUAAAAUAAAUAUAUUAAAUAUGGCGAAUAAUUUGAACUAAUUGAAAUGACUUCAGAGAGAAAUUCAAAAUAAUUAAAUUAUUGGAAACAAAUAUGUUAAAAUAAUUAAAAAUAAUAAAUGAAAAAGUAAUUAAGUUAAUUAAAUAUUUAACGUACGCAAAUUAAUUCAAUUACGCCUACGAAUGAAAUUACUUUCGCGACGAGAUAUUAGCUUAAUGGUGCGAAAGAUGUCAAGUGUUUUUAGCGUCGACCAUUGAACGGUAAAUUAGAGAAGAGUUGGCACAUAAAGAAGUGAGUGUGAAGAAAAAAGGAUAAAUAGAAACAUUGACAGAUUUUUAAAAUAAUAAUGGAUUAUCGAUAAUUACUUAUUUAUAUACAUUUAUAUAUAUCGAUCGAAUGUAUAUAUACAUAGUCUUUAUAUAUAGAGUAAUGAUUGAAAUGUGGUUCAAAAAGUGAUGUUUCCGCCAAGUGGGUUGCGCCACCUCACGCAUCGCAAUUAUCUUCGAAAAUACAGCAAUUCAAAAUUUAGAUUAUUAUAAAAAUUUAUUUUUCUUUAUAUAUAACAUUCAAACCUAUUGAUUGAAUACAUGAUAUUAAUGUGUAAAUAUAUGUGUGUAUAAUAUAAUGUGUAUAUAAUAUUAAUAUUUUGUAUAUCAUUGUAUCGAUAUAUCGAUUAAAUGUGUAUUCCUUCUA
Long non-coding RNA from Apis cerana (Asiatic honeybee), 2854 nucleotides. RefSeq lists it as uncharacterized. Lineage: Eukaryota; Metazoa; Arthropoda; Insecta; Hymenoptera; Apidae. The record is from RefSeq and is a predicted model, not a curated record.